This 262-nucleotide ribosomal RNA is filed under the name uncultured archaeon. RNAcentral's name for it is "partial 16S ribosomal RNA". It matches the Rfam family "Archaeal small subunit ribosomal RNA", at positions 748 to 1009 of the family's 1478-position model. The record is from RNAcentral.
CAGCCGUAAACGAAUGCGCGUUAGGUGUAUCGACGACCACGAGUCGUCGAGGUGCCGAAGGGAAACCGUGAAACGUGCCGCCUGGGAAGUACGGUCGCAAGGCUGAAACUUAAAGGAAUUGGCGGGGGAGCACCACAACAGGUGGAGCCUGCGGUUUAAUUGGACUCAACGCCGGGAAGCUCACCGGAUAAGACAGCGGAAUGAUUGCCGGGCUGAAGACUCUGCAUGACUAGCUGAGAGGAGGUGCAUGGCGUAGACGUCU